GACGAACGCUGGCGGCAUGCCUAAUACAUGCAAGUCGAGCGGAGUUAUGAAGGAGCUUGCUCUGGAUUAACUUAGCGGCGGACGGGUGAGUAACACGUAGGCAACCUGCCCUCAAGACUGGGAUCACUACCGGAAACGGUAGCUAAUACCGGAUAAUUUCUUUCCUCUCCUGAAGAGAGAAUGAAAGGCGGAGCAAUCUGCCGCUUGGGGAUGGGCCUGCGGCGCAUCAGCUAGUUGGUGGGGUAACGGCCCACCAAGGCGACAAUGCGUAGCCGACCUGAGAGGGUGAACGGCCACACUGGGACUGAGACACGGCCCAG
RNAcentral lists this ribosomal RNA (320 nucleotides) under uncultured bacterium. RNAcentral describes it as "bacterial SSU rRNA". It matches the Rfam family "Bacterial small subunit ribosomal RNA", at positions 28 to 334 of the family's 1533-position model. The record is from RNAcentral.